AUUGAACGCUGGCGGCAUGCUUUACACAUGCAAGUCGAACGGCAGCGCGGGCUUCGGCCUGGCGUCGAGUGGCGAACGGGUGAGUAAUGCAUCGGAACGUGCCCAGUAGUGGGGGAUAGCCCGGCGAAAGCCGGACUAAUACCGCAUACGACCUGAGGGUGAAAGCGGGGGAUCGAAAGGCCUCGCGCUAUUUGAGGUGCCGAUGUCGGAUUAGCUAGUUGGUGGGGUAAAGGCUUACCAAGGCGACGAUCCGUAGCUGGUCUGAGAGGACGACCAGCCACACUGGAACUGAGACACGGCCCAGACUCCUACGGGAGGCAGCAGUGGGGAAUUUUGGACAAUGGGCGAAAGCCUGAUCCAGCCAUGCCGCGUGAGGGAAGAAGGUCUUCGGGUUGUAAACCACUUUUAUUCGGGAAGAAAUCCUGUGGGCUAAUACCCCGGGGUGAUGACGUUACCGAAAGAAUAAGCACCGGCUAACUACGUG
RNAcentral lists this ribosomal RNA (484 nucleotides) under uncultured bacterium. Its description in RNAcentral is "partial 16S ribosomal RNA". It matches the Rfam family "Bacterial small subunit ribosomal RNA", at positions 30 to 507 of the family's 1533-position model. The record is from RNAcentral.